This 431-nucleotide ribosomal RNA is filed under the name uncultured bacterium. Its description in RNAcentral is "bacterial SSU rRNA". It matches the Rfam family "Bacterial small subunit ribosomal RNA", at positions 608 to 1028 of the family's 1533-position model. The record is from RNAcentral.
CUCAACCUGGGAAUUGCAGUUAAUACUGCUUGGCUAGAGUCUGGUAGAGGGUGGUGGAAUUCCCGGUGUAGCGGUGAAAUGCGUAGAUAUCUAGAGGAACGCCGGUGGCGAAAGCGACCCGCUGGGCCUGCUCUGACGCUGAGACGCGAAAGCGUAGGGAGCAAACGGGAUUAGAUACCCCGGUAGUCUACGCUGUAAACGAUGCGCACUAGGUUUGAAGACCUCUGACGGUCGUCGGGCCGAAGCAAAAGUAUUAAGUGCGCCGCCUGGGGAGUACGGCCGCAAGGCUAAAACUCAAAGGAAUUGACGGGGGCUCACACAAGCGGUGGAGCAUGUGGAUCAAUUCGAAGCAACGCGCAGAACCUUACCUGGGUUUGACAUGCUUGGAUGCCCUCCUGGAAACAGGAGUAAGCUGCCCUUUGGGUGAAACU